Molecule: long non-coding RNA, 780 nt
Organism: Phyllopteryx taeniolatus (common seadragon)
Lineage: Eukaryota; Metazoa; Chordata; Actinopteri; Syngnathiformes; Syngnathidae
Exons: 3
Source: RefSeq, a predicted model, not a curated record
GUGAGAGGAAAUCUUUUUCAACUUCCUUUGUGACAAGUGUGCCUCAAAUUAAGGGAAACCAAGCCAGUUGUCUCAAAUCAAUCAUCGUUUGCCGUUCAAUAAUAAAGCUUUAGAAGACAUUACAUGACUGGAUCACUUGUGUCCACUGGGUUCUAUUACAAGCAUCAGCGGCCCUUCUUCCACACAAUGCAAUACUUGCACUUAGCCCUCGAGCAGGGAAUAGAACCAUUGAGAGAUUCCCUCCAAAUGAAAAGUAGCAGCGCUCCAUAUGAAGAAGAGGUUACUGGAAUAUUGCCACGAGGAGCAAGAAAUGUCACUGUUGCUAUGUGUAUAAUCCGCUGAAUUCACUCCCAAUAUGAACCAGUACUCCAACAGCUUGUGCACAUUAUGUUCCCAGGUGAGAUGGAGCCUAUACCAACUGUUCCAAAAUUAAUGUAUUUAUAUAAAGCAUUAUGUUGUAUUGUUUUUAUAAGCUGCUAAUUGUGUAUAUAUGGUACUCUGUUGUUACAAUUAGGAUAUACACACAGUAUUUUAAUAAAAACACAAACUUAUGAACAGUCAUAUUACAAUCACUAAUCUAUACACAAUAGAAUAACACUAUUUAGUCAACCUAUAAAAAACAAGUCUACAGUGUGCAUCGAUUUUUCUAUAUUCUUAAAGUGAUGACUUUUUGGGAGCGCCAACUGCUAACUCAUAUUGUGCUGAAAUUUCACCUAAAAACCAAAUGUCGCUAACUUUUUGUGAGUAGUGUAGAGUGGAUAUAAAGUCAACAAACCUGUU